GUUUAGCCCAGAUUGAAACGACAUCCUUUUUAUAGGCUUUCCAAACAAGUAAUUCAAUUUCUAGAAGAGAUUGCCACAGUUUACAAAAAAAGUAAACUUCGCAAAGACGCCUAUGAAAAGAUACAGUGGAAAGCUGGAAAUAGC
Molecule: small RNA, 144 nt
Filed under: Polaribacter vadi
Lineage: Bacteria; Pseudomonadati; Bacteroidota; Flavobacteriia; Flavobacteriales; Flavobacteriaceae
Description: Flavo-1 RNA
Rfam family: Flavo-1 RNA
Source: Rfam by way of RNAcentral